This 468-nucleotide ribosomal RNA is filed under the name uncultured bacterium. Its description in RNAcentral is "partial 16S ribosomal RNA". It matches the Rfam family "Bacterial small subunit ribosomal RNA", at positions 28 to 507 of the family's 1533-position model. The record is from RNAcentral.
GACGAACGCUGGCGGCGUGCUUAACACAUGCAAGUCGAACGGAAAGGCCCUGCUUUUGUGGGGUGCUCGAGUGGCGAACGGGUGAGUAACACGUGAGUAACCUGCCCUUGACUUUGGGAUAACUUCAGGAAACUGUGGCUAAUACCGGAUAGGAGCUCCUGCUGCAUGGUGUGGGUUGGAAAGUUUCGGCGGUUGGGGAUGGACUCGCGGCUUAUCAGCUUGUUGGUGGGGUAGUGGCUCACCAAGGCUUUGACGGGUAGCCGGCCUGGGAGGGUGACCGGCCACAGUGGGACUGAGAUACGGCCAAGAGUGCUACGGGAGGCAGCAGUGGGGAACAUUGCACAAUGGGCGGAAGCCUGAUGCAGCAACGCCGCGUGCGGGAUGACGGCCUUCGGGUUGGAAACCGCUUGCGCCUGUGACGAAGCGUGAGUGACGGUAAUGGGUAAAGAAGCACCGGCUAACUACGUG